UACGAAGGGGCUAGCGUUGUUCGGAAUUACUGGGCGUAAAGGGCGCGUAGGCGGUACUUCAAGUCAGGCGUGAAAGCCCGGGCUCAACCUCGGAACUGCCUUCGAUACUGCGGGUCUCGAGUCCGGGAGAGGUGAGUGGAAUUCCUAGUGUAGAGGUGAAAUUCGUAGAUAUUAGGAAGAACACCCGUGGCGAAGGCGGCGUCUCUGGGACGGUA
This 215-nucleotide ribosomal RNA is filed under the name uncultured bacterium. RNAcentral describes it as "partial 16S ribosomal RNA". It matches the Rfam family "Bacterial small subunit ribosomal RNA", at positions 524 to 739 of the family's 1533-position model. The record is from RNAcentral.